RNAcentral lists this ribosomal RNA (545 nucleotides) under uncultured Verrucomicrobiales bacterium. Its description in RNAcentral is "bacterial SSU rRNA". It matches the Rfam family "Bacterial small subunit ribosomal RNA", at positions 8 to 526 of the family's 1533-position model. Lineage: Bacteria; Pseudomonadati; Verrucomicrobiota; Verrucomicrobiia; Verrucomicrobiales. The record is from RNAcentral.
AGAGUUUGAUCCUGGCUCAGAACGAACGCUGGCGGCGUGGAUAAGACAUGCAAGUCGAGCGCUGAUUCCGGGGUAGCAAUAUUCCGGGGUCGGAGCGGCGCAAGGGUGCGUAACACGUGGGUAAUCUGCCGUGAAGUUUGGGAUAACUUGCUGAAAGGCGAGCUAAUACCGGAUGUGACCACCGGGAGGCAUCUCCUGGUGGUUAAAGUUGGGGACCGUAAGGCCUGACGCUUCAUGAUGAACCCGCGGCCUAUCAGCUAGUUGGUGAGGUAACGGCCCACCAAGGCUAAGACGGGUAGCUGGUCUGAGAGGACGACCAGCCACACUGGAACUGAGACACGGUCCAGACACCUACGGGUGGCAGCAGUCGAGAAUUUUUCACAAUGGGCGCAAGCCUGAUGGAGCGACGCCGCGUGGGGGAUGAAUGGCUUCGGCCCGUAAACCCCUGUCAUUCGCGAUCAAACGUUAUUAUUUAAAAGAUGAUGACCUGAUAGUAGCGGAAGAGGAAGGGACGGCUAACUCUGUGCCAGCAGCCGCGGUAAUAC